CCUACGGGGGGCUGCAGUGGGGAAUAUUGGACAAUGGGGGGAACCCUGAUCCAGCCAUGCCGCGUGUGUGAAGAAGGCCCUCGGGUUGUAAAGCACUUUCAGUGAGGAAGAACGCCUGGUGGUUAAUACCCAUCAGGAAAGACAUCACUCACAGAAGAAGCACCGGCUAACUCCGUGCCAGCAGCCGCGGUAAUACGGAGGGUGCGAGCGUUAAUCGGAAUUACUGGGCGUAAAGCGCGCGUAGGUGGCUUGAUAAGCCGGUUGUGAAAGCCCCGGGCUCAACCUGGGAACGGCAUCCGGAACUGUCAAGCUAGAGUGCAGGAGAGGAAGGUAGAAUUCCCGGUGUAGCGGUGAAAUGCGUAGAGAUCGGGAGGAAUACCAGUGGCGAAGGCGGCCUUCUGGACUGACAUUGACACUGAGGUGCGAAAGCGUGGGUAGCAAACAGGAUUAGAUACCCUAGUAGUC
This 465-nucleotide ribosomal RNA is filed under the name Vreelandella stevensii. RNAcentral describes it as "partial 16S ribosomal RNA". It matches the Rfam family "Bacterial small subunit ribosomal RNA", at positions 338 to 795 of the family's 1533-position model. The record is from RNAcentral. Lineage: Bacteria; Pseudomonadati; Pseudomonadota; Gammaproteobacteria; Oceanospirillales; Halomonadaceae.